RNAcentral lists this ribosomal RNA (330 nucleotides) under uncultured cyanobacterium. RNAcentral describes it as "bacterial SSU rRNA". It matches the Rfam family "Bacterial small subunit ribosomal RNA", at positions 363 to 707 of the family's 1533-position model. Lineage: Bacteria; Bacillati; Cyanobacteriota. The record is from RNAcentral.
UUUCCGCAAUGGGCGAAAGCCUGACGGAGCAAUACCGCGUGAGGGAGGAAGGCUCUUGGGUUGUAAACCUCUUUUCUCAGGGAAGAAAAAAAUGACGGUACCUGAGGAAUAAGCAUCGGCUAACUCCGUGCCAGCAGCCGCGGUAAUACGGAGGAUGCAAGCGUUAUCCGGAAUGAUUGGGCGUAAAGGGUCCGCAGGUGGCAUUGUAAGUCUGCUGUUAAAGAGUUUGGCUCAACCAAAUCAAAGCAGUGGAAACUACAAAGCUAGAGUAUGGUCGGGGCAGAGGGAAUUCCUGGUGUAGCGGUGAAAUGCGUAGAUAUCAGGAAGAAC